This 1927-nucleotide ribosomal RNA is filed under the name human gut metagenome. Its description in RNAcentral is "bacterial LSU rRNA". It matches the Rfam family "Bacterial large subunit ribosomal RNA", at positions 3 to 1973 of the family's 2925-position model. The record is from RNAcentral.
UCAAGUGACUAAGUGCAUGUGGCGGAUGCCUUGGCGAUCACAGGCGAAGAAAGACGCGGCAGCCUGCGAAAAGCUGCGGGGAGCUGGCAAACGAGCUUUGAUCCGCAGAUAUCUGAAUGGGGGAACCCACACCGCAAGGUGUAUCCGUAGCUGAAUACAUAGGUUACGGAGGCGAACGAGGAGAACUGAAACAUCUAAGUAUCCUCAGGAAAAGAAAUCAACCGAGAUUCCGGCAGUAGCGGCGAGCGAACCCGGAGGAGCCUAGCUUUUGAUAGUACGAACUUUAGCCGAAAGGUCCUGGAAAGGCCUGCUAUAGUGGGUGAUAGCCCCGUAGGCGAAAGAGUUGGUACGGUACUAAGGAAGCGAGAAGUAGAGCGGGACACGUGGAAUCCUGUUCGAAGACGGGGGGACCAUCCUCCAAGGCUAAAUACUCGUGAUCGACCGAUAGUGAACCAGUACCGUGAGGGAAAGGCGAAAAGAACCCCGGGAGGGGAGUGAAAUAGAACCUGAAACCGCAUGCAUACAAACAGUAGGAGCCUUUACGGAGGUGACUGCGUACCUUUUGCAUAAUGGGUCAGCGACUUACAUUCUGUGGCGAGCUUAACCGAAUAGGGGAGGCGCAGCGAAAGCGAGUUCGAAAUGAGCGUCCAGUCGCAGGGUGUAGACCCGAAACCAGAUGAGCUAUCCAUGGCCAGGUUGAAGGUGUGGUAACACACACUGGAGGACCGAACCGACUAGUGUUGCAAAAUUAGCGGAUGAGCUGUGGAUAGGGGUGAAAGGCCAAACAAAUCUGGAGAUAGCUGGUUCUCCCCGAAAACUAUUGAGGUAGUGCCUCGUGUGUCGCUCCAGGGGGUAGAGCACUGUUUUGGCUAGGGGGACAUGGAGUCUUACCAAACCAAGGCAAACUCCGAAUACCUGGAAGCGUGAGCACGGGAGACAGAGCACCGGGUGCUAACGUCCGGACUCAAAAGGGAAACAACCCAGACCGCCGGCUAAGGUCCCAAAUAACAGCUAAGUGGAAAACGAAGUGGAAAGGCCGUGACAACCAGGAAGUUGGCUUAGAAGCAGCCAUCCUUCAAAGAAAGCGUAAUAGCUCACUGGUCGAGUCCUUCUGCGCGGAAGAUGUAACGGGGCUAAGCUGUUAACCGAAGCCGCGGAUGCACUGGUAAUCCAGUGCGUGGUAGGGGAGCGUUCUGUAAGUCUGCGAAGGCGGUUCGAGAGGACUGCUGGAGAUAUCAGAAGUGCGAAUGCUGACAUGAGUAACGUUAAAGCAGGUGAAAAGCCUGCUCGCCGUAAGCCCAAGGAUUCCUGCUCUACGUUCAUCGGAGCAGGGUGAGUCGGCUCCUAAGGUCAGGCCGAAAGGCGUAGCCGAUGGGAAUCAGGUUAAUAUUCCUGAACCUGCGUCAGAUGCGAUGGGGGGACGGAGCAUGAAAGAUCAUCCGGGUGUUGGAAGUCCCGGUUGACGAGCGUAGGAGGUCUGCAGGCAAAUCCGCAGACGAUUCUCCAAGGCAAAGACACGUGCCGCCACGGCGGCGAAGUGAUCGGAAGUGCUUCCAAGAAAAGCCUCUAAGCCCCAGUCUGACGCGGACCGUACCGCAAACCGACACUGGUGGGCGAGCUGAAUAUGCUCAGGCGCUUGAGAGAACUCGGGAGAAGGAACUCGGCAAAUUGACACCGUAACUUCGGAAGAAGGUGUGCCGUAGUAGCGUGAGAGGAGAGACUCCUCGAGCGUGAAUCGGUCUCAGAGAAUAGGUGGCUGCGACUGUUUAUUAAAAACACAGCACUCUGCAAAGUCGAAAGACGACGUAUAGGGUGUGAUGCCUGCCCGGUGCUGGAAGAUUAAUUGAUGGGGUGAGAGCCCUUGAUCGAAGUCCCAGUAAACGGCGGCCGUAACUAUAACGGUCCUAAGGUAGCGAAAUUCCUUGUC